RNAcentral lists this ribosomal RNA (128 nucleotides) under Ficus benghalensis (Indian banyan). RNAcentral's name for it is "partial 18S ribosomal RNA". The stretch from base 1 to 95 matches the Rfam family "Eukaryotic small subunit ribosomal RNA", at positions 1737 to 1831 of the family's 1831-position model. The record is from RNAcentral. Lineage: Eukaryota; Viridiplantae; Streptophyta; Magnoliopsida; Rosales; Moraceae.
CCGUGACGUCGUGAGAAGUCCACUGAACCUUAUCAUUUAGAGGAAGGAGAAGUCNUAACAAGGUUUCCGUAGGUGAACCUGCGGAAGGAUCAUUGUCGAGACCCUGCCCAGCAGAAGGACCGGCGAAC